CCUACGGGUGGCAGCAGUAGGGAAUAUUGCGCAAUGGGCGCAAGCCUGACCCAGCAACGCCGCGUGAAGGAAGAAGGCUUUCGGGUUGUAAACUCCUUUUAAGAGGGAAGAGCAGAAGACGGUACCUCUUGAAGAAACCACGUCUAACUACGUGCCAGCAGCCGCGGUAAUACGGAGGUGGCAAGCGUUGUCCGGAUUUACUGGGUGAAAAGGGCGAGUAGGCGGGCUGAAAAGUCAGAUGUGAAAUUCCGGAGCUCAACCCCGGACCUGCAUUUGAAACUGUUGGUCUAGAGUGUCGGAGAGGUAGGUGGAAUUCCUAGUGUAGCGGUGAAAUGCGUAGAUAUUAAGAGGAAUACCAGUGGCGAAGGCGACCUGCUGGACGACAACUGACGGUGAGGCGCGAAAGCGUGGGGAGCAAACAGGAUUAGAUACCCGAGUAGUC
RNAcentral lists this ribosomal RNA (442 nucleotides) under uncultured bacterium. RNAcentral's name for it is "partial 16S ribosomal RNA". It matches the Rfam family "Bacterial small subunit ribosomal RNA", at positions 338 to 795 of the family's 1533-position model. The record is from RNAcentral.